This 119-nucleotide ribosomal RNA is filed under the name Pteropus alecto (black flying fox). The record is from RNAcentral. Lineage: Eukaryota; Metazoa; Chordata; Mammalia; Chiroptera; Pteropodidae.
GUCUAUGGCCAUGCCACCCUGAAUGUGCCCAGUCACGUCUGAUCUCGGAAGCUAAGCAGGGUCGAGCCUGGUUAGUACUUGGAUGGGAGACUUCCUAGGAAGAUCAGGUGUUGUGGGCA